AAAACGGGAACCUUCUUCUACAAAAUAGUUCAUUGUGGUUACAUCUUUAUAACAUGAAAACAACUAGUUGAAAAGUGAUACUUUAGUCUGUUACCUGUCAGUUCAGUCAGAAUUGGUUUGUCUACAUUUUUCACCCCACAAUGAAUUUGAUUCAUUAAAUUUAGUGCUCCCACCCUUGGUGUGUAUAUUGUAUUGUAUUUCAGGGAAAAUACAAAGAGAAAAAUAAUUGUCUUGCUGUUAAUUCAGUGUUGGUAGGUUAUUUAAUCUGAGUCUCACUUUCCUCUGUAAAAUAAAGCUGAUGAUAAUACAGCUAUCUCAUGGGGGCUGAAACAGUGUGGCUAGUUCAAGGGAUAAAUAAAUUAGUAUGUAAAGUCCUGGCUUUAAAACAGCACCUGUACAAUCUAAUAACUGAAUGUGUUCCUCCUUGCUCUCCAGCUGCAGUAAUCUCCCCCCUCCCCUCCUUUGGCUCAGUCCUCUCUGCCUCAGGGCUUUUGCAUAUACUGUUCCUGAUACCUUUCCCCACCCCCCUCUUUGUCUUUCCCUGGCUAACACUUAUUCAACCUUUUAACCUUUGCAUAAGUUCCAUUUCCUUGGGGGACUGUUUUGGGAGUUAGAGGCUGCAGAGGAGGAACCUGUUGUUUAGUGGUUACAUCUGUUUGCAUGAUGCUCUCAAAAUGCCUUCCUGACUGGAAAACUGGCCCCACAAGGCCUUGCUGAUUUCACUCUCCACUACAUCCCCAGCAUCCCACACAGGACCUGGCACACAUUUCUGUUCGAACAGUAAGGAUGGGUGACUGCUUUGGGAGGAGGAAAACAGCAGUUGUGCUUGCUGUCCCAGCUUUAGCUGUGAGAUUGGUCAGGAGAGUCCUGGUUGGAAUGAAUCAUCGGCACUUGGACCUUUCACUUUAACGUAGGGAGAAUAGGGCUGCUUAUGUGUUAAUGGCAGACUUGCCAUCACUGGAUUUUGGGUGUCUAAGCAACUUGGUUUUCUUUCUUUUCCUUCCAGUAAAUCCUUGAUGGUGGGAGUGGUGUGGCAAAAGAGGGUGGACAGAGCAUUCAGAACGUCAGAGAGAACCUUGCCUCUGCAUAGGGCCACACUAUGGUUAGCCUUCCUCCCAAGGAGCACUCUAGGAUUGUCAGGUUGUGUGGCCUUUUGGCAAGGCAGGAGCAAUGCUCCAUGCCCACCUGCAGGUGGCAGUAAAGGUGAUAGGGAAAGGGUGGGUGUGAGGCUUUACUGACUGGACACAGGGAGUUGCUGAAAUCGCUGAGGGAGUUUGGAGUUGAUUAUAAUGCAGGGAGAAACCACUGCAAGACUGUAAUCACAUGAUUUGAUGGAUGUUACAAAAAGCAAAGAUUGGAAUUAGGAACCUGUUAAGUGAGUCCAGGUGGCUGAUGGGCCAGGAUGGUUGGGGAGAUGAAGAGAGAUUUUGAUGGAUUGGGUAUAGCAACUGAGCAGGGGCUGGCUGGCUGUAUUUUGAGUUCAAGCUCAAAUGUACCUAACUGCCCUAUAUCUGGGAGAUCAUUUCAGAGAGGAAAUUUUUAAAAAGAGAAGACAAGGGGCUGGGGAUGUGGCUCAAGCGGUAACAUGCUCGCCUGGCAUGCGCGCCUGGGGCGCUGGGUUCGAUCCUCAGCACCACAUACAAAUGAAAUAAAGAUGUUGUGUCCACCAAAAACUGGAAAUAA
This 1683-nucleotide long non-coding RNA is filed under the name Marmota monax (woodchuck). Lineage: Eukaryota; Metazoa; Chordata; Mammalia; Rodentia; Sciuridae. The record is from RNAcentral.